This 440-nucleotide ribosomal RNA is filed under the name uncultured bacterium. RNAcentral's name for it is "partial 16S ribosomal RNA". It matches the Rfam family "Bacterial small subunit ribosomal RNA", at positions 338 to 795 of the family's 1533-position model. The record is from RNAcentral.
CCUACGGGUGGCAGCAGUGGGGAAUAUUGCACAAUGGGGGAAACCCUGAUGCAGCGACGCCGCGUGAGUGAAGAAGUAAUUCGUUAUGUAAAGCUCUAUCAGCAGGGAAGAAAAUGCCGGUACCUGAGUAAGAAGCCCCGGCUAACUACGUGCCAGCAGCCGCGGUAAUAAGGAGGGAGCAAGCGUUAUCCGGAUUUACUGGGGGUAAAGGGAGCGUAGACGGCAGUGCAAGUCUGGAGUGAAAGGCGGGGGCUCAACCCCCGGACUGCUCUGGAAACUGUACGGCUGGAGUGCAGGAGAGGUAAGUGGAAUUCCUAGUGUAGCGGUGAAAGGCGUAGAUAUUAGGAGGAACACCAGUGGCGAAGGCGGCUUACUGGACUGUAACUGACAUUGAUGCACGAAAGUGUGGGUAUCAAACAGGAUUAGAUACCCGGGUAGUC